GAUUCGGUAGGUGAGGCUACCGCAGGGAUAUGGACUGCUGCCGCGAAGCUGUGGAGACACAACGAGAAGGUCAGCAGGUGACGUCGUAGAAGGCGCCACUUAAUGCAGUUUCACGCCCUGUGAUGCUAAAGCUUGAACGGU
This 141-nucleotide small RNA is filed under the name human gut metagenome. Its description in RNAcentral is "M-box riboswitch (ykoK leader)". It matches the Rfam family "M-box riboswitch aptamer (ykoK leader)", at positions 11 to 156 of the family's 169-position model. Rfam says of the family: M-box riboswitch, also know as ykoK leader is described as a metaloregulatory RNA that sense divalent metals and function as a genetic control element of genes related to divalent metal transport in bacteria. It was first reported upstream of the B.subtilis ykoK gene and genes with related functions in other bacteria. The record is from RNAcentral.